Molecule: ribosomal RNA, 455 nt
Filed under: Turbinella rapa
Lineage: Eukaryota; Metazoa; Mollusca; Gastropoda; Neogastropoda; Turbinellidae
Description: partial 16S ribosomal RNA
Rfam family: Bacterial large subunit ribosomal RNA
Source: RNAcentral
GACCUGCCCGGUGAAUUUUUUAACGGCCGCGGUACUCUGACCGUGCAAAGGUAGCAUAAUCAUUUGCCUUAUAAUUGAAGGCUAGAAUGAAUGGUUUGACAAGAAUACAACUGUCUCUUUACAAUUACAUAAAAUUUUAUCUGCAGUUGAAGAAGCCUGCAUUUGAAUAAAAGACAAGAAGACCCUAUCGAGCUUAAAAAAAACUGGUGGAAUAACAAACUUAAUCCUAACUUAUAAAUAAAUAAAUAGUCAACUACUGGAAAUUUUGGUUGGGGCGACCGGGGAACAAAAAAAACUUCCUUUAUAAAAAUUUAGAUGCCCAAAUAUUGAUCCAGCAUUAUAUGAUUAAAGAAAUUAGUUACCGUAGGGAUAACAGCAUUAUCUUUUUUAAGAGUUCUUAUCGAAAAAAGGUUUGUGACCUCGAUGUUGGACCAGAAUAUCCUAAAGAUGCAGCC